Molecule: ribosomal RNA, 490 nt
Filed under: uncultured bacterium
Lineage: Bacteria
Description: partial 16S ribosomal RNA
Rfam family: Bacterial small subunit ribosomal RNA
Source: RNAcentral
AUUGAACGCUGGCGGCAUGCUUUACACAUGCAAGUCGGACGGCAGCGGGGUAGUGCUUGCACUACUGCCGGCGAGUGGCGAACGGGUGAGUAAUAUAUUGGAACGUACCGAGUAAUGGGGGAUAACCAAUCGAAAGAUUGGCUAAUACCGCAUACGCUCUGAGGAGGAAAGCAGGGGACCUUCGGGCCUUGCGUUAUUCGAGCGGCCAAUAUCUGAUUAGCUAGUUGGUGGGGUAAGGGCCUACCAAGGCGACGAUCAGUAGCGGGUCUGAGAGGAUGAUCCGCCACACUGGGACUGAGACACGGCCCAGACUCCUACGGGAGGCAGCAGUGGGGAAUUUUGGACAAUGGGCGCAAGCCUGAUCCAGCCAUGCCGCGUGUCUGAAGAAGGCCUUCGGGUUGUAAAGGACUCUUGUUAGGGAAGAAAAAGGAGCGGUUAAUACCCGUUUCUGCUGACGGUACCUAAAGAAUAAGCACCGGCUAACUACGUG